CAGUAGCCGCGGGAAUACAGAGGGUGCGAGCGUUAAUCGGAUUUACUGGGCGUAAAGAGCUCGUAGGCGGUUUGUCGCGUCUGCUGUGAAAACUGGAGGCUCAACCUCCAGCCUGCAGUGGGUACGGGCAGACUAGAGUGCGGUAGGGGAGAUUGGAAUUCCUGGUGUAGCGGUGGAAUGCGCAGAUAUCAGGAGGAACACCGAUGGCGAAGGCAGACCUCUGGGCCGUAACUGACGCUGAGGAGCGAAAGCGUGGGGAGCGAAUAGGAUUAGAUACCCCGGUAGUCCCUGUCUCUUAUAC
RNAcentral lists this ribosomal RNA (301 nucleotides) under uncultured bacterium. RNAcentral's name for it is "partial 16S ribosomal RNA". It matches the Rfam family "Bacterial small subunit ribosomal RNA", at positions 509 to 807 of the family's 1533-position model. The record is from RNAcentral.